GGGGGAGGGGGGUUGCACCUUCAAAUUAAUGUUCUCUCUUUAUGCUAAAGCAAACUACAAACUAGUCACAUGAAAGUAAAAUUAUAGGAGAGGAAUUAAGAUGUGGUCCCACUCUUCAGAAUUUUACCGUUGCCUAUCAAACAACAAUUUAAAUCAUAAGUACUUCUACUUUCCAAAAACUCAUAGAAGAAAAAUGAAAAAGGUUUAUUUGUGAUUAGACAAUAGUUAAAAAGGAAAUAAAGUUGACAAGCCUUUUGCUUCAUAUAUGGUAAGAAAAACAUGAUGUGUAAUGUAGAACUAGAAAUGCCAUGUAUAAUUUCAACCAUAAUUGUAACCUCUUAAAGGUAAU
This 349-nucleotide unclassified non-coding RNA is filed under the name Hevea brasiliensis (rubber tree). The record is from RNAcentral. Lineage: Eukaryota; Viridiplantae; Streptophyta; Magnoliopsida; Malpighiales; Euphorbiaceae.